Molecule: long non-coding RNA, 1923 nt
Organism: Pan troglodytes (chimpanzee)
Lineage: Eukaryota; Metazoa; Chordata; Mammalia; Primates; Hominidae
Exons: 6
Source: RefSeq, a predicted model, not a curated record
AUGUGGAGCAGAGCCAUGUCUCGGGACACAGGCUUGGAGGCAGGGCUGCUGUGAUAGUUCCAGAGAACCCAGGAUGAGGAGGGGGCAGGUGAGGCCACCGGAGGAUGGGCUUCAUUUGGGACAAGUUGAGUGGAUGACACCUGCAGAAAUCUGGCUAGAACAGGGGCUUCAGUGAGUGCGUGACAGAUGGAAAACCCAGACUGCUGAGCACAGUGGACUUGAAUGGAGACUGCUGGUGGCUGCUGGUGUAUGUGAGGCUGAACCUCUUGCAACUGCCAUCUUUACAGAUUGAGAACAGCCUAAUACUGGUUCCCUCCAGUCCCUGCUGCAGAUGCCUCCUCCCCACAGGAUCCUCGGAGUGAAAUUCUCAUCUCUCAUAGCCCUUGUUAGCUGCCGACUUCAGCCUUGUGUACCACCGAGACUUCUGGAAUGACACCACCAUUUCUUAGCUGGCUCCAAUGAUAAAGCCAGCCACCAAGAAGCACACUGUUGGGCACAACUGCAUUUUUAUAACAAAGUGGGCUUGCAGCUCUGGGGCCUAAGCAACAGAGGAAUGUGUGGACAAGUUAUGUUCCAUUCCUGCUCCCCAGCAGGGACUCUGUUACUGCUGGGACUAGGUCUGUUACAGUUUUACAAACAAGAAAAAGGGGCGUCUGGAUGGCAAUCCAUAAGAAUGGGUUGCCAAAGGCCUUAACUCCAUAUUCAGAGUCAGAAAACUUGAGUUCCUUCUGUUAAGACACUCUAGACCUUGGAGAAAGAUCCAUAACCUCCCCAAGACACAGCUUUCUGAUCUGUGAAAUGAGGAUAAUAGUGCAAAUCAAACAUCAUUCGAUGCAUAUUUAUGCAGUUGGUGCUGAUUAGAAAUAGAUUUGGCUCCUUUGACAUCCUGAAAUGACUGAAAUAAGAAACUCCGUCUCCAUCCUCCCUGCUGCUAGCAACUUAACACAGCACUGGGGAGUUGGGGCAAAGGGGGUCUGUGUGAGGGCACCCUCCGAGGGCCCCAGGAGUGGCUGUUCUUUUUAAUAAGCCUCUUGCGGUACGCAGCGUUGUGUCCUGUCACCAGCAUGCGGCUGAAAUUGAUCGGACAGCCUCAACUGCUCAUCAGUGAAAAUGGCUGCGAGGAGAGUAACUUUUCACUUUGUUUCACCUGUGAUCUGGGUCUGGCGAGCCGGUCAAUACUCCAGUUACUAGGAGCUGCCUUCGAAGCUUGGAGGGCUGGAUCCCUGCAACCCAGCUAGGACUGAUCUGUGUGUGUGGCGGGGAUGUGGCCAGCAUCCUCCACGACCCAGCUCCCUCAUGAGUCUGCAACACCUGGCCCUCAGGACUGCGUGAUGGGUGCCCCGUGAGAUCCAAUUCCACUGUGAACUAUGCUGACAUCCAUCAAGGCCUUUACCUCCUGCCUCUUGGUUUGAAAUGGGUCUCCAAGACUUCCACCAUCCACAAGUGAUCCAGAAAUGGCUCUGGCAGUACCCAAGCGUUCCUUGAAGGCAGGUCCGGGUCUGGUUCUCCGGAUCCCAACACCACAAGGCGGCAGUGGUCUUGUACAAUGUCUCUGUAUUCCCAAGUCCCCAUCUGCGAGCAUGGCCACUGGAAAUAACUGCAGCUGUAUACUGACUUAAAGAUCCAAAAAUCCCAGGAAAGACCCCAGAGCUGUGAGCCAGACGCCCAAGGCCCUCCCAGCCUGCAAGCCCCAGGCCAAGCCUGAACUAUAUGCAGACCAGAUUUCAUCCAAGGAAAAAGGAUCACAUGAAGAUGAAAACACCCCACUUCCUUCAUCUGGAUGGCACCUUGUUUAGAAGCCCAUCACUCGGCCAGAGAAGAAAUAUUUAGAUCGAGAAACACCUUUCUGUUGUGCCCUAAGCCCAUUCUACCUUUGAUUCAACUAAAAAUUUAUUUCCACUUAAAUAAAACCAGCAAUUCUGA